GUGGGUAUAGCUCAGUGGUAGAAUUCAUGCUUAGCAUACAUGAGGUCCUGGGUUCAAUCCCUAGUAUCUCCA
RNAcentral lists this transfer RNA (72 nucleotides) under Camelus bactrianus (Bactrian camel). It matches the Rfam family "tRNA". From Rfam's summary of the family: Transfer RNA (tRNA) molecules are approximately 80 nucleotides in length. Their secondary structure includes four short double-helical elements and three loops (D, anti-codon, and T loops). Further hydrogen bonds mediate the characteristic L-shaped molecular structure. tRNAs have two regions of fundamental functional importance: the anti-codon, which is responsible for specific mRNA codon recognition, and the 3' end, to which the tRNAs corresponding amino acid is attached (by aminoacyl-tRNA synthetases). tRNAs cope with the degeneracy of the genetic code in two manners: having more than one tRNA (with a specific anti-codon) for a particular amino acid; and 'wobble' base-pairing, i.e. permitting non-standard base-pairing at the 3rd anti-codon position. RNAcentral also lists the same sequence under 3 other names. The record is from Rfam by way of RNAcentral. Lineage: Eukaryota; Metazoa; Chordata; Mammalia; Artiodactyla; Camelidae.